CACUGAAUCUCAAAAGAAGUCAAAUGUGAUAGGUUAGGAACAGUGGCCUGCUGGUAAACCAGCUCGCUCUCCGGAGGGUGGGGAAGGGAAACCUUGAUUUGUCGUGUUUGCCAAUAUCUGUGCUAUAAGUACCGUUACCCUGGUGGAUUUCAAGUUAUCAACUGUUUAAGAACCAGCUCGCAGAAUUCCCGAAAAUUUGACAAUCAGCUCUCCCGAGUCAGCUCCCGCCACCUCCAGCACACCUGUGCAGCUCUCCAAAGAGAGCCACCUGGGGGCGGGGCCGGGGGCGGGGAUCUGCGGUUGAUCCUGCGUAGUUCGGUGAGGUCAGACCUCACCUGAGAGGGUGUGUCUAGUUUCAAAUCCUAGAUUAUAAAAGGAACAUUGACAAAUUGAAAAUUGUUCAGGGGGUUGAGCAAGACAUAAUUUCAACUAAAAAAACAAAACAAAACAAAAAACAUUGGGAAGGAGAACUGCUGGGAUGAAUAUCCAGGAGAAGAAAAACAGGGGGAUCCUAGGCAUUGUUUCCGAAUCUCAGUAGGGCUGUGAGUUACCUGUCGUGGGCAGCAGAAUCUGAACUGAUGAGGAGGGGCUAGAACAGGGAAGCUGACUGCAGCUCAUGCUAAGAACUUUCUGCUGAAGUUGCCCAAAGAAAGGCAGAGCUGCCCGGUGCUGUGGGGAGCGCCCCGCCGCUGGAGGUAUGGAAGAUGUGGGGCAACCACUAGGUGGGGCUGUGGCAGUGGACACUCCAGCGCCCCUUCUGGUCUCUGGGGGCUGAUGCUGCCCUGGAGUCCUCCUCUUUCUCCCAUUUAACCAGUUUCAUCUUCUCGCCUUCAUUCUUUUUUUUCUCUUUUUCCUGUCUGGCCUGGCUCACUUUCUUAGUUGCCUUUGGCUGAUUUACCUGGUUUAGCUCCCUCUUUGGACAACGAUCUCUACCUGUUUCUAAAGAGAGAAGACCAAGCCUCUUAGCUUUCUCCCUGCCGCUUACAUCCCAGGAAGAAAGCAAAAGGCCUCUUCGUCCCAUUUUUCUUUGCUUUCUCUUCUCUCUUCCAGCAUUCUCAGCUCCACAUUUGUGACUGAAGAAGGACAAAUAAACAAAUUGAAACUGAAACUGACUGUUGGCCCUAAAGUGAGGACAUCUGGGAGGCUUGCAAGGAAAUUUACAUGCUUGUCGGGUUUCAGGUUACAUAUUUUGUGUUGCCUGGUAACGAGCCCCACAGUUUCCUUUCAUGCUUUAUUCUCCCCCAUCCCUUGUUUAUAGUGUAAUUACCACUGUGACAUCAUAAUCCCCCAUUGAACAGCUGUCAAGGGGGCCCAACUGCUGAGUAAACAGGGCUUUACAAUCUCUCCUCCCACAGGCUGGUUUACUAAAUAGAUCAAUAUUUGGUUUGUAGGCACAGGGAUUAGGAGGUGGAAGUGUCUUUUGAAAAAGGCCUGUCUCUUCCCAGGGCCUCCGGUGCACCUGAGAAUGCUGGAAAAAAAAAGCCAGGUUCAUGGACAAAAAAAAAAAAAAAAAAUAUCACUCAAGCGGCUUUCACCUGCCCACGAUUUCCCAAGGAGCAGCUUCUCUUUAAGAAGUGAGAUCUACUCGAGAAUUAGUAAUGUCUUAGGUUCUUUAUUCUAAUGCUUAGAGAAUUCCACUUUCUUCUCUGUCUCUGUCUCCCCACUUAGUUCCCCUUUUUCUGUCCCCAAUCCCAUUUGAUUUAAUCUUUCUAAAUGGAUAUUAUAGCCUCAGGGACUAAAAGAAUGACACAUGGAUAAACAGGAACUAAGCUCCUGAAGGUCUCCCCCGGCCCCCGCCACCCCACCCCCCACUCCGGGAUUAGAAGCUCUGCAAAGAAAGCAACUCAGAGGUUUCUUUGUCAAAUUAGAGAUUCCUGGUUGAUAGUUUGGGAAAAGAUGGUUUAGAUUUUGCCUCUCUUGGGUCAGGGAAGUCUGACUCAAACGCGCGUAGGAGCAGAGAACGUGGAGCACUAGCCUGAGCAUCAGGAGCCAUGAGCUCUAACACUGCUGCCCACUGUGACUUGCUCUGUGACUUUGGACAAGUCCCUUGUGGAAGCAACAUUAGAACUGGGCUGCAAGGGUCUCCAAGGCCUCUCCCAGGGAGAGUAACAAGGAUGAAGAGAAUAUCUUAAAAGGACUUAGAAAUAAAAGAUGAUCAACCAAGAAUUGGAAGAUUGACAGCUGACUUCUCAGCAACCUCUUCCUGAUGGAGAUUAAUAUCAAUUACUCCUGAAUAGACAAAGCAGAAGAAGGUUUACUCUUAAGCUGCUAAUGCUUAAUCUUCAAGGCUACUCACUUGCUCAAGCCUCUUUCACAUGGUCAUAUGAUUUUUUAAUAUUUGCAAAGAAAGAUAUUUGUAUUUUUUUGUGAUUUCAUUUCUCAUUCCAAA
This 2389-nucleotide long non-coding RNA is filed under the name Equus caballus (horse). RNAcentral's name for it is "lncRNA (ENSECAG00000059870.1)". The record is from RNAcentral. Lineage: Eukaryota; Metazoa; Chordata; Mammalia; Perissodactyla; Equidae.